UCCCUGAAUUCCAUCAACAUUUGAUUGUAAUCUGUCAAGCUUUUGAAUUUCUUCUGCAUCUAGAGUAGCAUGUAAUUUACUAACUAAUUCAGAAGGAAGAUGAAGCCUCUCAUCAUCUAUAUAUAAACAAACCUCUUCCCAACAACAAAUAAAAGCUAAAUCUAACACUCUCCUAGUUGAUUCUUCAUCAUAAAUAACAUAGAGACCAUUUUCCUAAGGCACAUUAGAGUCUUGCACAUAAUAGCCUUUAGGAUUUGGGAAGCUAGCUAGUUCUGCAUAUUUCGCAACUAUCUUUUCGAAAGACAUAGAAUCAACACUUUCCUCCACAAAUUCAACGUUUACCUCUUGAUAACACCAAGAUUUCUUCUUCUCCCAAUACCCCCCGUAAUUGAACCAAAAUCCCUCAAAAACGAAACUGAAACGCAAAAAACACAAAAAAAAUCAAAUCUCAAAACAACCAAAACAAAUCAAUAUAAGAAGAAGGACGAUUUUCUCAUUGAAUGCACUUAUCCUGAACCGUCGUCGUCGUCUUCCGCCAUCGCAUGCAAGGUUUGGUGGCUUAUGACUCCCUAUCAUUUUUUUCUUCCAAAGAGGAAC
Molecule: long non-coding RNA, 597 nt
Filed under: Salvia miltiorrhiza (redroot sage)
Lineage: Eukaryota; Viridiplantae; Streptophyta; Magnoliopsida; Lamiales; Lamiaceae
Description: long non-coding RNA (SMIL_LNC012921)
Source: RNAcentral